RNAcentral lists this ribosomal RNA (543 nucleotides) under uncultured Planococcus sp. Its description in RNAcentral is "bacterial SSU rRNA". It matches the Rfam family "Bacterial small subunit ribosomal RNA", at positions 202 to 742 of the family's 1533-position model. Lineage: Bacteria; Bacillati; Bacillota; Bacilli; Caryophanales; Caryophanaceae. The record is from RNAcentral.
GGUUUCGGCUGUCACUGCAGGAUGGGCCCGCGGCGCAUUAGCUAGUUGGUGGGGUAAUGGCCUACCAAGGCGACGAUGCGUAGCCGACCUGAGAGGGUGAUCGGCCACACUGGGACUGAGACACGGCCCAGACUCCUACGGGAGGCAGCAGUAGGGAAUCUUCCGCAAUGGACGCAAGUCUGACGGAGCAACGCCGCGUGAGUGACGAAGGUUUUCGGAUCGUAAAACUCUGUUGAGGGAAGAACAAGUACCAAGUAACUACUGGUACCUUGACGGUACCUCACCAGAAAGCCACGGCUAACUACGUGCCAGCAGCCGCGGUAAUACGUAGGUGGCAAGCGUUAUCCGGAAUGAUUGGGCGUAAAGCGUCCGCAGGUGGCAGUUCAAGUCUGCUGUCAAAGACCGGGGCUUAACUUCGGAAAGGCAGUGGAAACUGAACAGCUAGAGUAUGGUAGGGGCAGAGGGAAUUCCUGGUGUAGCGGUGAAAUGCUUAGAGAUCAGGAAGAACAUCGGUGGCGUCGACGCGGCCGAGUCGUGGGACGG